RNAcentral lists this ribosomal RNA (409 nucleotides) under bacterium. Its description in RNAcentral is "partial 16S ribosomal RNA". It matches the Rfam family "Bacterial small subunit ribosomal RNA", at positions 355 to 776 of the family's 1533-position model. The record is from RNAcentral.
UGGGGAAUAUUGGACAAUGGGCGGAAGCCUGAUCCAGCAACGCCGCGUGAGGGAUGACGGCCUUCGGGUUGUAAACCUCUUUCAGCACAGACGAAGCGCAAGUGACGGUAUGUGCAGAAGAAGGACCGGCCAACUACGUGCCAGCAGCCGCGGUAAUACGUAGGGUCCGAGCGUUGUCCGGAAUUAUUGGGCGUAAAGGGCUCGUAGGCGGUCUGUCGCGUCGGGAGUGAAAACCUACAGCUUAACUGUGGGCUUGCUUUCGAUACGGGCAGACUUGAGGCAUGCAGGGGAGAACGGAAUUCCUGGUGUAGCGGUGAAAUGCGCAGAUAUCAGGAGGAACACCGGUGGCGAAGGCGGUUCUCUGGGCAUGUUCUGACGCUGAGGAGCGAAAGUGUGGGGAGCGAACAGG